ACAUACAUAGCUAAGCAGAUUGUUAGAUUCUUCCACUUCACCUGACACAUCAGUGUUCCUUCUUCCUGUCACAAUCUCCAGGACUAAAAUUCCGAAGCUAUAGACAUCUAACUUAACAGAUACAUGUCCAAGAACUGCAUACUCUGGCGCCAUAUAUCCUCUGCAUGCAUGCAUUCCAGAUUAUGAAGAGCAGCAUGUAAGUAAGGAAAGAAUUUGUCGGAGUCUCAUCAUUUUCUUACAGCGUCCCAACGACAUGGUUUGUGAUACUAGCAGUUUUAGUACCAUCAAAUAGCCUCGCCAAGCCAAAGUCGGAGAUCUUUGGGUUCAUGUUGGCAUCUAACAAUACAUUGCUGGCCUUGAGGUCACGAUGAAUGAUCUUUAUCUGAGAAUCCUCGUGGAGGUAGAGCAGGCCGCGUGCUAUCCCAUGUAUGAUCUGAUAUCUUGUUUCCCAGUUUAAUUGUCCUCGCUUCUCUGGAUCUACCAAAUACAAAA
RNAcentral lists this small RNA (492 nucleotides) under Oryza sativa Japonica Group (Japanese rice). RNAcentral describes it as "sRNA Os10g0327100". Lineage: Eukaryota; Viridiplantae; Streptophyta; Magnoliopsida; Poales; Poaceae. The record is from RNAcentral.